RNAcentral lists this long non-coding RNA (333 nucleotides) under Homo sapiens (human). RNAcentral's name for it is "HSALNT0043233". The record is from RNAcentral. Lineage: Eukaryota; Metazoa; Chordata; Mammalia; Primates; Hominidae.
ACUGUCUUAGUUCAUUUUCUGCUGCUAUCACAGAAUACCACAGACUGGGUAAUUUAUAAGGAACAGAAGUUUAUUUGGCUCAUGGUUCUGGAGGCUGGAAAGUCCAAGAGCAUGGCACUGGCAUCUGACAAAGUCAUUCCAAGGUGGAAGGCAUCACAUGAUUGGAUAAUUUAUACUGAUCUGUCUUAAAGUUCUGACUCCUUCUUUGUGUUGAUGAAAAGAGUCAAACUGUAAAAUAUUUGAAGAGAUUUAUUCUGAGCCAAAUACAAGUGACCAUGGCCUGUGACAGCACCCUCAGGAGGUCCUGAGAACAUGUGCCCAAAGUGGUCGGGG